GAUGAACGCUGGCGGUAUGCUUAACACAUGCAAGUCGAACGGACUCUUCGGAGUUAGUGGCGGACGGGUGAGUAACGCGUGAGAAUAUGGCUUUGGGUUCGGGACAACCACUGGAGACGGUGGCUAAUAACGGAUGUGCCGAGAGGUAAAAGAGAAGUUGCCUGAUGAUGAGCUGGCGUAUGAUUAGCUAGUUGGUGUGGUAAAGGCUCACCGAGGCAGCGAUCAGUAGCUGGUCUGAGAGGAUGAGCAGCCAAACUGAGACUGAGACACGGCCCAGACUCCUACGGGAGGCAGCAGUGGAGAAUGUACCGCAGGUGGCGAAAGCCUGACGGAGCAAUGCCGCGGGAGGGAAGAAGGCUCUUGUGGUGUAAGCCUCUUUUCUUAGGGAAGAACAAAAUGACGGUACCUAAUGAAUCAGCAUCGGCUAACUCCGUG
This 435-nucleotide ribosomal RNA is filed under the name uncultured bacterium. Its description in RNAcentral is "partial 16S ribosomal RNA". It matches the Rfam family "Bacterial small subunit ribosomal RNA", at positions 28 to 507 of the family's 1533-position model. The record is from RNAcentral.